AGGUUCUGUGGUACACUUGGACUUGGACUCUGGAGCAGUCAGUGCAUGACAGAACUUGG
Molecule: microRNA precursor, 59 nt
Filed under: Chrysemys picta bellii (western painted turtle)
Lineage: Eukaryota; Metazoa; Chordata; Testudines; Emydidae
Description: Cpi-Mir-148-P3_pre stem-loop
Rfam family: mir-148/mir-152 microRNA precursor family
About the family: The hairpin precursors (represented here) are predicted based on base pairing and cross-species conservation -- their extents are not known. In this case the mature sequence is excised from the 3' arm of the hairpin.
Source: RNAcentral